This is a long non-coding RNA of Sebastes umbrosus (honeycomb rockfish), 303 nucleotides long. RefSeq lists it as uncharacterized. The record is from RefSeq and is a predicted model, not a curated record. The transcript is spliced from 3 exons. NCBI's taxonomy places the organism in Eukaryota, Metazoa, Chordata, Actinopteri, Perciformes, Sebastidae.
AUACAGUCUAUCUCUUUAUCUCUUAGGAGAAAUAUAAUUUAAUAUUCACAACUAUGUUUUCAUUAGUGUAUAAUCAAAUGAAACAAAGAAUUGUUGUGUUUUCCUUAGCUUAGAAUGAGCCCGUCAUAUCUACAUGGGGAGCAUGUCCUCUUCACCACCCAAUUUGACUGUUAUUAGGCCAUUAAAUAGGCGCUAUCAGUCGCUAUGAGCACCAUAGAUGUGGGUCAGUAGGGGCCUACUAUGCCUACUAUGAAGUGAAAGGGAAACUUAAAAGCAACACGUUCUAACAUGUUAUAAAACUGA